GGUUUUUAUGGUAAUUGGAAGGGCUGGGCAAACACACAGAGAAAUAAGUUAAUGGGAAGACAGAAUUCUUCUUCUCCUCCUCCUCCCCCAACCAACUUCUGCUGUCUUUUUCAGUUGGAAUCUAGCUGGGAUCAGAAUGGAUGCAGCUAAUAGCUUAUAAUCAUGCUCAAAGCAUCCUAUUUGGAAAAAGCUUCAGGAGUGGUUUUACUCAUUGCAAGGCAGAUUAUUCAAUACAAGGAACCUUCCAGGAACUUGAAACAACAGGAGAAAGGAGAAAGGUGUGUGGAAAGAUAUGUCAUGUCUGUCAGGAGCAAUUUGUGAAAAGCAACAACUUUCACUGA
RNAcentral lists this long non-coding RNA (341 nucleotides) under Monodelphis domestica (gray short-tailed opossum). Its description in RNAcentral is "lncRNA (ENSMODG00000032493.2)". The record is from RNAcentral. Lineage: Eukaryota; Metazoa; Chordata; Mammalia; Didelphimorphia; Didelphidae.